CGAACAAAAAAUCUGCCAUCUAGUUUCAACUAACUACAUGCGACAGGAAGCAAACUCAAAAACCAAGUGAAGAGUCCAGGCUCAACAUUUAGUUUUUAAAACUUAAGGACCAAAUACACUCCAGCAUAGUAACGCUUUCAGCGACUGGUUAAUAUCACACCAGCUAUGAUGACAAUGACAUGGUGAUAAAUAUAAUAAGGCAACUAGAGUCACAGGUAUCCAAACGCAUCUGCAGCCAACUUAAGAGAAGCAGGUGCCGGGUUGGGCGUGGUGGCUCACACCUUAGUUCCCAGCACUCAGGAGGCAGAGGAAGGCAAAUCUCUGUUGAGGACAGGGGCCAGAGGGAGAGCAGGAGACAGAAUUCACUCUCUGGCCAGAGGCUCACACUGCUCAUGUUAUACAGCUUCCUCUCUCAGGUUUGGUUCAAUAGUGGCUGAAAACAGGGCAUUAUUUUAGGAAUGCUAGUUGGUUGGUUUGUUCAUGGUUUUAUAGUUCCUUAGAAAGAUUGGGAAAUAAAAUUUUGCUGAAUACAUAUAUCCUAAAUUAAAGACAGUGUAGGGUACAUUCUGGGACCACUAAAAUGAUGUGUGUUGACCUCCAAUGAACCAUGGAUAAUACUCAACCAUUCUGAGACUCUAUCAAGUUAAACAGAAAGG
This 656-nucleotide long non-coding RNA is filed under the name Mus caroli (Ryukyu mouse). RNAcentral's name for it is "lncRNA (MGP_CAROLIEiJ_G0004038.1)". Lineage: Eukaryota; Metazoa; Chordata; Mammalia; Rodentia; Muridae. The record is from RNAcentral.